Pan troglodytes (chimpanzee) is the source of this 2887-nucleotide long non-coding RNA. RefSeq lists it as uncharacterized. NCBI's taxonomy places the organism in Eukaryota, Metazoa, Chordata, Mammalia, Primates, Hominidae. The record is from RefSeq and is a predicted model, not a curated record. The transcript is spliced from 3 exons.
GUCUCAUCAGAGCAAAGUGUUGACUCAUAUGCAAUGAACAUGCCAUGACCCAGAGCUACCAUGGGUAUUGUUACAAAGGCAGUACCUGUGGAGCUUCUAUUUAGGAAUUGCUGGGCUUCUCCUACUCUAAAUUAUAUGAACCAAGGUAAAAUAUUUCAUUUAUACACAACCAUCAUUACACAGAUUUUGACUUGCAUCCUGUUUCAUCUGAUGGAUGAUUUCACCUCACUCUUCCAUUUCUGAAGCCUGUGGGAUUUUCUAAAAUUUAGGACAAACAAUCAGUCAAAGAAAGAGAAAGCAUUCCACCAAAGGAGAAAACACCAAGGAUCCGCUUUCAGGGUAAUGUUGCUCAAAGGGAUAAAAAGUGAAACUUAGACUGAAAUAGCUCAUCUUUAUUCAGAUUGAAAAAUACAGGUUUUAAAUCUUCCAAAUUCAAUGCGUUAUAGAAAGACUACGAGUUUGCAAGUCAGCAAAUGUGUAUCCUCUCAGUUAUUUAGCUGUCUGACCUUCAGCAAGAGAUUCAAACUUUCUGGGUCUCAGUUUCUUUUUCUUUUCUUUUCUUUUUUUUUGUAAAAGAGGAAAAUUAAUGCUUGCUUCAUAUGGUUCAUAUAAGGAAUGAAUAAGAGUUAAUAUUUACCCCCAUACCAGUUAUCUAUCACUAAGUAACAAACACCUCAACAUCAUUUCUCACAAAUCCCUGGGAUGGCUGGGUGGUCUCACAUGGGCUUGCUCUUGUGGUUGUAUUCAUCUGGUGGGUCAGCUGGAGCUGGAGAGUCUGUGUUGACAUCGUGCAUGUGUCUGAGGCCCUGAUGGGAAUGGUUGGAAGUCUGGGACCUCUCUCUUCGCAUGGUUCCUCAUCAUUCAGUAGAUUAGCCCACCUUUAUAUGGCAUCUAAGUUCCAAGAAAGUGAAGGCAGAGGCUUCAAGGCAUCUUGAGGCUUAGGCUCCAGAGCUUCCAAAACAUCAUGUCAGCCACAUUCUACUGGUUAAAGCAAGUUAGAAUGCUAACUAGGAUUCAAGGUGGAGAAAUAGUAUCUACCACUCAAUGGAAAGUGCUCUGGUCUCAGUGUUUGUGUCCCAUCAAAUAGAUAUGUUGAAAUAUUAAUUCCCAAGGUAAUUGCAUUAGAUUGUAGAGACUUGAGAGGGUUAUUAAUUCUUGAAGGUCAUGCCCUCUUUGAGAUUAGUGCCUUAUAAAAGAGACUCCAGAGAGUGAAUUCAUGCCUUCCAAAAUGUGAGGACUUAGCCCAAAGGUGCCAUCUAUGAACCAGGAAGUAGGAUUUUGUCAAACACUGAAUCUGCUGGCACCUUUGUCUUGAACUUUCCAGUCUCCAGAACUGUGAGAAAAACAUUUCCAUUGUUUAUAAUGAUAUUAUGAUAUUUUGUUAUAGCAGCCCAACCAAAACAGGAAGAAUGGCAGUAUUAUAUUGCAAAUAAGCGUGAAUAUAGAGAAUGUUAUUCAUUAAGGCCAUUAUUAUAAUACACUCCCUCUUGUAUUAUAGUCUGUGGGCCCUGUUUUCCAGUGCUGUAAAGUUUAGGAGAGUCUUUCAUAAUUCUAUUGAUUGGAAACUAUGGUAAAUUAUUACAGUAAUGGCACCCAGUGAAUCACGUGCCUUUUCAUAUUCGUGCCUUUAUGUAUUCCCCUUCCAAGUCGACAUUGGACUUGGCCAUGUGAAUUGCUUUGGCCAACGGAACAUCAGCAAAUGUAACACAAAUAGAAGCUUCAGAAGGGCUUGUACACUGGGGCUUGUUCUCUUGAACACCUUGAAACUGCAAUGCCAUAAAAAUCCUGGGAUGAAAAGCCACUGCAGAAAGAAGAGUGCAGCUGGGCCCAGGUUGCAGUUCUACCAGCCAGAUACAGCUACAUGAGUGAGCCCAGGUAAGACCAGCAGAAGGGACACCCAGUCAACCCACAGAAUCAUACAUAAAUGGCACUUGUUUUAAGCCACUGAGUUUUGGGGUACAUAGCAAUAUAUAACUGAAAUACGAACUAAAAAUAUUCUAGCCAAAGGGUAGCCUAUAACAAUUGCCAAAUACUAGCUUCACUACAAAAUCACUAAGUCAUUUCAUGGUUUUAGACAUAACAUAGAGAUAAUAUAAUUAAGUGGUCUUUAAAAUAACUUUUAACUAUAGAAUUCUUUUUUAAAACAACAUCUUAUCAGAGAUUUAAAACAAGGAGACAUCUUAUUAGAAUAAAUUCAUUUUAUUGGUUCAAAUUUAUGGCAUUUUGCUUAUAAAGCCAAUUAAUGAAAACACAAUUCCUUUUUCUUUCAUACAAAAAUAUAAAUCCAGGCUCAUAAAUGGCAGUGAAAGACUUCUUGCAUUUUAGCUUACAAUUAAUUUGUAUGUUUUCCUUUAGCAAUAUGGCAUAAAGAAAAUCCUCAUUCAAGACAGACAAGUACUUAUAAGUGUUAGGGUCAUUUCACCACUUGCCUUGGAGUCUCAGGAUAUUGAAUGGUCAGGAGAAGCAUUAUAACUUACUCCUACUUGGAAAAAUAUGAACCCAUCAGUCCAAGCAAAUACAUUGAUUGAAGUCCUCUGAUGAGGUUAUAUUUUAAAUAUGUUACAUUUAACUAUUUAAAGAUUACCAUCUUUAAAAAGUUUAAAAUCUAUGUAGAAACUUAAAUUCAAAUUGAUUGUUUGUAGAGCCCUUGAAGAACCCUGAUGGUACUCUGCCAUUCUUUGCAAUUUAUUUUGCGAAUUACUAUAACACUUGAAAACUGGUUUUGCUUUGUCAUUGAUUUUGUUCAAAACUGAGGGAAGCGGAUUGGGCAUUUUAAAAUAAUGAUUUCUCCCAUGUUUCAAGUGUCAGUGCAUUCUCAAAACCAUUUGUUGGGCUCUUUAAAGAACAUUCCUGCUGGUUUCAUUUUUUAUUCGUCAAGAAUUUUUGU